This 615-nucleotide ribosomal RNA is filed under the name uncultured bacterium. RNAcentral's name for it is "bacterial SSU rRNA". The stretch from base 1 to 541 matches the Rfam family "Bacterial small subunit ribosomal RNA", at positions 338 to 873 of the family's 1533-position model. The record is from RNAcentral.
CCUACGGGAGGAGCAGUGGGGAAUAUUGGACAAUGGGCGAAAGCCUGAUCCAGCAAUACCGCGUGUGUGAAGAAGGCCUUCGGGUUGUAAAGCACUUUAAGCAGGGAAGAAAAAAUUCAAGCUAACAUCUUGAGUCUUGACGGUACCUGAAGAAUAAGCACCGGCUAACUCUGUGCCAGCAGCCGCGGUAAUACAGAGGGUGCAAGCGUUAAUCGGAUUUACUGGGCGUAAAGCGUGUGUAGGUGGUUGGGAAAGUCAAUUGUGAAAGCCCCGGGCUCAACUCGGGAACUGCUUUUGAUACUGUCUGACUAGAAUUCGGUAGAGGGAGGCGGAACUCCAGGUGUAGCGGUGAAAUGCGUAGAUAUCUGGAAGAACACCAAUGGCGAAGGCAACCUCCUGGGCCUGAAUUGACACUGAGACACGAAAGCGUGGGGAUCAAACAGGAUUAGAUACCCUGGUAGUCCACGCCGUAAACGAUGACAACUUGACGUCGGUUUGCUCUGCGAAUCGGUGUCGUAGCUAACGCGAUAAGUUGUCCGCCUGGGGAGGACGGCGCGAGUAGAACGACGAAGAAGUAGAGCGNGAGACGNGCGACGACGACGACGAGGGAGGAGG